Molecule: long non-coding RNA, 662 nt
Organism: Helicoverpa zea (corn earworm)
Lineage: Eukaryota; Metazoa; Arthropoda; Insecta; Lepidoptera; Noctuidae
Exons: 3
Source: RefSeq, a predicted model, not a curated record
UAUUUUGAUGACGUGACGUUUACGAAAGUGGCUGAACGGAGAGCUAGGUACAACAAGUGGACGGUAAUGGCGGAUGGUUGGUGUUUCGCGUCUCGUAGUACUAUUUAUAACCUAAAAUAUAGUACAAGUUUUCGGCGAUAUGUGCGCUAACGUUUCUUGGUUGUGUGGAUUGGUGCCGUUAAAUUUCACAAUUGUGCCAAUGACGUACGAACACUACAUCGACUGAAAGUAUACUGCUCUAAAUGAUAAUCAGUGAAAUGAUAUUGCACACAAAAUUUUGACAUUCACACUGCCGAGAUUUCGUAUUCGUUGCAAGUAGAGAAUGGUGCAUGCUGAACAUCGUCAAGUAAGCUGAAAGUGGACACAAGUGUGUAACUAACAAUGCAUGCAGUGUACAUAGUGUAGUACGGACAUCAAAAUAAAUUCCCUGAGGGCUAUGCACACUUGGUCUUGAAAAUGACAGAAAGACGGAAGAAAAAAUCACAUAAUGGAUUCCUUCGGAAAGUGUCCUCCUUGUUUAAUCUUGAUACGGCUCACGUCACAUCACCAGAAAUGAAGCAGGUAAUUUUUUAAAUAUACUUUAUUACAAGAUCAUUUUAAAUUUUAUUUCAACUAGGUUCUGUCAGUUUCAAUUUACAAUAAUGUCAAUAUUUUAAAACAUG